Molecule: ribosomal RNA, 508 nt
Filed under: uncultured bacterium
Lineage: Bacteria
Description: partial 16S ribosomal RNA
Rfam family: Bacterial small subunit ribosomal RNA
Source: RNAcentral
AUUGAACGCUGGCGGCAUGCCUUACACAUGCAAGUCGAACGGCAGCGGGGGAGAAGCUUGCUUUUCCUGCCGGCGAGUGGCGAACGGGUGAGUAAUACAUCGGAACGUGCCCUGUAGUGGGGGAUAACUAGUCGAAAGAUUAGCUAAUACCGCAUACGACCUGAGGGUGAAAGCGGGGGACCGCAAGGCCUCAUGCUAUAGGAGCGGCCGAUGUCUGAUUAGCUAGUUGGUGGGGUAAAGGCCUACCAAGGCGACGAUCAGUAGCUGGUCUGGGAGGACCAUCAGCCACACUGGGACGGAGACACGGCCCAGACUCCUACGGGAGGCAGCAGUGGGGAAUUUUGGACAAUGGGCGAAAGCCUGAUCCAGCAAUGCCGCGUGUGUGAAGAAGGCCUUCGGGUUGUAAAGCACUUUUGUCCGGAAAGAAAUGGCUCUGGUUAAUACCUGGGGUCGAUGACGGUACCGGAAGAAUAAGGACCGGCUAACUACGUGCCAGCAGCCGCAGUAA